GGGGAAGGGUAGCUUGCUACCUGACCUAGCGGCGGACGGGUGAGUAAUGCUUAGGAAUCUGCCUAUUAGUGGGGGACAACAUUCCGAAAGGAAUGCUAAUACCGCAUACGCCCUACGGGGGAAAGCAGGGGAUCUUCGGACCUUGCGCUAAUAGAUGAGCCUAAGUCAGUAUAGCUAGUUGGGUGGGGUAAAGGCCUACCAAGGCGACCAUCUUGUAGCCGGUCCUGAAAAGGAUGAUCCCGCCCCACUGGGGACUGAAACACCGGCCCAAAACCCCUACGGGAGGCAGCAGUGGGGAAAUAUUGGACCAUGGGCCGAAAGCCUAUCCCACCCCUGCCCCGGUGUUGUGAAAAAAAGGCCCUUUUGGUUUGUAAAACGCCUUAAACCCAAGGAGGAGGCCUCCCCGAAAAUAAAACCCCUUUGGGAAAGGGGGCCGCUUCCUCCCAAAAAAAACCCCCGGUUUAUCUUUUUUCCCCACCCCCCGUGAAAAAAGGGGGGCA
RNAcentral lists this ribosomal RNA (500 nucleotides) under uncultured bacterium. RNAcentral's name for it is "partial 16S ribosomal RNA". It matches the Rfam family "Bacterial small subunit ribosomal RNA", at positions 68 to 536 of the family's 1533-position model. The record is from RNAcentral.